GCCAAGUGUUUGUGAAGAACAGCAAGUGACUGUGGUUGGACUUGCACACCCAUGUGUUUGGGCAUUCACACACAUUGUCAAGCUCUGCAAACAAGGCUGUACUGGCUCAAGUUGGUGUGUGAGCUAUGAAAGAAGCUAUCGCUGCAGUGGGAACUUGUUUCAAUGGAAGAAAAUGCUCAGAUGGUGAAGGCCAGUAGUGCCAGCGUUCAGAGGGAUUUCAUG
Molecule: small RNA, 222 nt
Filed under: Pongo abelii (Sumatran orangutan)
Lineage: Eukaryota; Metazoa; Chordata; Mammalia; Primates; Hominidae
Description: processed transcript
Source: RNAcentral